UUCCGCGGAAACUCUGACAACACUGGCGACUGGCCAUUUCCGGAAAUCAAAGGACAGCCCCAGCACCCGCCUCUGCCAAGUUCCAUCGUGUUUUCUACUAUGUAAAGCAACAUACGAAACUAUUACUUACCAUGGUGGAGGAAAGAUUGUAAUUACCAGAACUCCUGAAAAAACUACCUAAGUCGUUGAAAUGAGAAAACUACAUUAAUGCACAGACAGCAUUUUACUUCACCAACCUAUACCUUUAUAUGAAGAAUCACCAAACGUCUGAGGAAAUCAGAAGCACAAAGAGAAAACUGAUGUGAACUAAUAUUUCAAUGCAUCAUAUAAGAAACUGGUAACUUAAAAUUUCUAGCAUUCAAGAGUAAUAAGACUGUGCAUAUAUAAAAUAAACUGCUGUGAUGGACAA
Long non-coding RNA from Symphalangus syndactylus (siamang), 409 nucleotides. RefSeq lists it as uncharacterized. Lineage: Eukaryota; Metazoa; Chordata; Mammalia; Primates; Hylobatidae. The record is from RefSeq and is a predicted model, not a curated record.